Long non-coding RNA from Lepus europaeus (European hare), 1421 nucleotides. RefSeq lists it as uncharacterized. The record is from RefSeq and is a predicted model, not a curated record. The transcript has 3 exons. Lineage: Eukaryota; Metazoa; Chordata; Mammalia; Lagomorpha; Leporidae.
CCGCCGCGGCCACGUCGGGAGAGCCCGAGUGGGGACUUCCGCGACGUGGGCGUCGUCGCCUCGCGCCUGGGCUGCUGAGGGAAGGGCCUCGUGCAGUUCUUCAAAUCCUUGCCACACUUCCUGCUCUGAACUAAGAGAUGACAGAACUGCUUUAUAUUCACCGUUGAAGAGAGCGAGAACAGCCUGCCUCCAAGCCACCGUGUGAAAGAAAGGAUUAUCCCCAGAGCGCCGGCUCAGACUGCCUGACCCAAGUAAAUACUUCCUGCGUCGUUGCCAUACAGAUCCUGGUGAUCCUCGAAGCCAGUUUCUUCUGUGAACUAGCUCUCACAGCCUGCGCCUGGAUAAUAACGAUGGCCUCCCCAUCGGUCUGCCCUCUGCUCUCCCUGGGUCUCUCUUGGUGCCGGGGAAGUCUUUGCCCUUCCAUGUUUGACGCCGUGCCCACUUUGCAGCUGAGUCGCAGUAACAAGGGAACCUUUGUCGCACCUGUCACUAUCUCCUGUUACAUCUCCAUGUGACACCACUCCUCAGAUCCCUAGUCUGUCACACAGCUUGCUGCAGUUCAGUGGGUAAAGGAAAACUCCAGGGCUGGGUCCAAAGCGGAUAGUGGGUGUGGGUUGAACACCCCGGCCUCAGCCUAGAGACGUGGAUCACAGAAAAGCCGCGCGGGUGGGCCCGCUGGCUCCGUCUGGCACCUGAAAGAGCGUGUUGCACGAGAGAAUCCAUCGAGAUAUGCCUCUUCUCAACUUUCAUUUUUCUCUACGGGAAAAUGUAUACAGGAUGAUUUGGGGGUCUGAUAGCCGUAUAGCUUACAAAUCAUUUAGGUCAAAUGUGUCUCCUCCCUGACUUCUACACCGAAAGAGGUGCCCAUGGUUCAUAGAGGCGUGAAAGUGCAGCUGGCUGUGCCUGGUACUAGCUCCCAAGGAGCUUGGCAGUCAGGCAGUCCUUGCUCUGACCCUGGCUCUUGACUCUCAGCUGGGUGAUCUUGGGUGACUUAAUUAACCUCUGAAAAACGACACAGAUCCUUACCUUAAAGGCCUAUUGGAAGAGUUACGUAAAAUCACGCCAGGGCUGUAUUAGAACAUGACCCCUCUAUGGCCUUGUAUGCCAUGGGUUCAUUUUUUUAAAAAAGAUUUUAUUUAUUUAUUUGAGAGGAAGAGUUACAGACAAUGAAAGGUAGAGACAGAGAGAGGUCUUCCUUCCAUUGGUUCACCUCCAAAUGGCCGCAAUGGCCGGAGCUGCGCCGAUCCGAAGCCAGGAGCCAGGUGCUUCUUCCAGGUCUUCCACAUGGGUGCAGGGGCCCAAGCACUUGGGUCAUCUUCCACUGCUUUCCCAGGCCACAGCAGAGAGCUGGAUUGGAAGAGGAGCAGCUGGGACUAGAACUGGCACCCAUAUGGGGUGCCGGCACUGCAGGCGGAGGAUUA